CGGAGCAAGACCAAAUAGGGAUCCUAUGGCGUGGCCCGCGCUGGAUCCGGGUAGGUUGCUAGAGGCUGGUGGCGACGCCAGCCCCAGAUGAAUGACUGUCCACGACAGAACCCGGCUUAUCGACCGGUCCAUUUC
Molecule: RNase P RNA, 135 nt
Filed under: Alcanivorax sp.
Lineage: Bacteria; Pseudomonadati; Pseudomonadota; Gammaproteobacteria; Oceanospirillales; Alcanivoracaceae
Description: partial RNase P RNA component class A
Rfam family: Bacterial RNase P class A
About the family: Ribonuclease P (RNase P) is a ubiquitous endoribonuclease, found in archaea, bacteria and eukarya as well as chloroplasts and mitochondria. Its best characterised activity is the generation of mature 5'-ends of tRNAs by cleaving the 5'-leader elements of precursor-tRNAs. Cellular RNase Ps are ribonucleoproteins.
Source: RNAcentral